RNAcentral lists this ribosomal RNA (516 nucleotides) under uncultured bacterium. RNAcentral describes it as "bacterial SSU rRNA". It matches the Rfam family "Bacterial small subunit ribosomal RNA", at positions 28 to 526 of the family's 1533-position model. The record is from RNAcentral.
GAUGAACGCUAGCGACAGGCUUAACACAUGCAAGUCGAGGGGCAGCAAGAAUUGUAGCAAUACAAUUUGUUGGCGACCGGCGCACGGGUGAGUAACGCGUAUGCAACCUACCUAUCAGAGGGGGAUAGCCCGGUGAAAGCCGGAUUAAUACCGCAUAAAACAGGGGUCCCGCAUGGGAAUAUUUGUUAAAGAUUAAUUGCUGAUAGAUGGGCAUGCGUUCCAUUAGUUAGUUGGUGUAGGUAACGGCUCACCAAGACAUCGAUGGAUAGGGGUUCUGAGAGGAAGGUCCCCCACACUGGUACUGAGACACGGACCAGACUCCUACGGGAGGCAGCAGUGGGGAAUAUUGCACGAUGGGCGCAAGCCUGAUGCAGCCAUGCCGCGUGUGUGAAGAAGGCCUUAGGGUUGUAAAGCACUUUCAGCGGGGAGGAAGGGUAUAGGCUUAAUACGUUUAUACAUUGACGUUACCCGCAGAAGAAGCACCGGCUAACUCCGUGCCAGCAGCCGCAGUAACAC